AAAGAAAGGAAAUCCUGCAUUCCAGGGCACCACAAGUGAAGGCACUGCCCCAGGGUACACAGUUCUGCAACAGCUUCCCAUCCCUUGGACAUCCUCAGAUCAACCUCAGCAGUGCUCCUCCCCCCUUCCAACACUUGUACACAACAAUGGGAUCUUCCCAUGUGACAAUUAGAGCAGUUUAUUUUUUCAUGAUGGAAACACCAAAUGCAAUUCAAUCUCCCCACAUGGGUCAUGCUUUAAAAAUGCACACUGAAUCCAACCACCUCCCCAUGAUGGGCUGCUCUUCCCCAUCUGCAGCACUCGUAAUUGGCGCGAUUAAUUAAAGCUGCACCGUUCAACCUAAGUACAAAUACAGCUUCAGCUAUUUGCUUGUGUCAUAUCUUACUACAGAACAAAUUUUCUCCCUGUUCCAGCACUGUGACCUCACAGCAGCAGGUCUUCCUCCAUCCUCCAGGCAAUGCACUCUCUCAGCUGCUCGUGGCUCAGAGCAGGAGCCUGAUGAAACAACUUAUGGAACAUUUGGGGGUGGAGGGAGAAGGUAUCUGCCGUUCUUUCCACUCAGUGCAAGCUAUCUAGGGAAUGCAGACCUAAAAAAAGCAGGAACUCCACACCAACCUGAUGCCAACCUGGGAACAGAAGGAUCAACUCAUACGGCUCGUUCUGCCUGGAAGGUCUGUAACUGGAGAUGAUACAUAUAUACCCAAAAAAGAAACGGAUGGAAGCACUUUGUGCUGGCACAGACAGCUGCUGCUCCUUCACACUCUAUUGCUGAGAUGAUUUCUUCAGGGGAAACUUUGGGGAAGUGGCCACGCAGACAGCAGCUGAAAACAUCAAUUAAAUCCAAAUGAAGUGGUUGUACUACAAGCACAACUGAACAAAACCCACUGGGCUGCCAACAAGCAGGAAUCACAACUCAGCCUGCACCACGCAGGGCGUCCUCUGCUGCUCUGUAAGCAUUUGAGCUCCUGAUGGAAAUGCAUCUUGCUGUCCAAAGGAAGCCCACGUGGGGCUGAGAUGCACAAUGUGGAUAUUGCCAGCAUCUUGAGAUGAAGCCCAGGCAAGAAGCACUUUAAUAUUUAUUACAAUGAAAUGUGGUUCUGAAUAACACAGUA
Long non-coding RNA from Phasianus colchicus (ring-necked pheasant), 1112 nucleotides. RefSeq lists it as uncharacterized. Lineage: Eukaryota; Metazoa; Chordata; Aves; Galliformes; Phasianidae. The record is from RefSeq and is a predicted model, not a curated record.